GCGCCUGCGGCGGACCCGGCACGGAACCUGAUAACAGCUUCGCAGGCAGCGGAUCCGUGUACGGUCUGGUACUUCCCGGAAUCUUCCGGGCUUUAAUGCCUUCU
This 104-nucleotide small RNA is filed under the name bovine gut metagenome. Its description in RNAcentral is "RT-5 RNA". It matches the Rfam family "RT-5 RNA". From Rfam's summary of the family: Clostridium (Firmicutes). Environment (Cow rumen (57)) The record is from RNAcentral.